UUUGUUCAAGUCCAUAACUAAAACCGCAGCAGGGGAAUUAACGCCGUUGUGGUAUUCAAAUGGACCAAAUUAGACACCAUGAUUAACUAUUCCUCUUAAGGGUAUCGCAUUGAAGAUACUAACCUUAAUAAAGUUCAAAAAUCAACAAAACAACAAC
Small nucleolar RNA from Drosophila innubila, 157 nucleotides. Lineage: Eukaryota; Metazoa; Arthropoda; Insecta; Diptera; Drosophilidae. The record is from RefSeq and is a predicted model, not a curated record.